GAUGAACGCUGGCGGCGUGCCUAAUACAUGCAAGUCGAGCGAACAGACGAGGAGCUUGCUCCUCUGACGUUAGCGGCGGACGGGUGAGUAACACGUGGAUAACCUACCUAUCAGACUGGGAUAACUUCGGGAAACCGGAGCUAAUACCGGAUAAUAUAUUGAACCGCAUGGUUCAAUAGUGAAAGACGGUUUUGCUGUCACUUAUAGAUGGAUCCGCGCCGCAUUAGCUAGUUGUUAAGGUAACGGCUUACCAAGGCAACGAUGCGUAGCCGACCUGAGAGGGUGAUCGGCCACACUGGAACUGAGACACGGCCCAGACUCCUACGGGAGGCAGCAGUAGGGAAUCUUCCGCAAUGGGCGAAAGCCUGACGGAGCAACGCCGCGUGAGUGAUGAAGGUCUUCGGAUCGUAAAACUCUGUUAUUAGGGAAGAACAAAUGUGUAAGUAACUAUGCACGUCUUGACGGUACCGAAUCAGAAAGCCACGGCUAACUACGUG
This 497-nucleotide ribosomal RNA is filed under the name uncultured bacterium. RNAcentral describes it as "partial 16S ribosomal RNA". It matches the Rfam family "Bacterial small subunit ribosomal RNA", at positions 28 to 507 of the family's 1533-position model. The record is from RNAcentral.